CACUGCCGAGAAAAGCCUCUAGAUAGAAAAUAGGUGCCCGUACCGCAAACCGACACAGGUAGUCAAGAUGAGAAUUCUAAGGUGAGCGAGCGAACUCUCGUUAAGGAACUCGGCAAAAUGACCCCGUAACUUCGGGAGAAGGGGUGCUCUUUAGGGUUAACGCCCAGAAGAGCCGCAGUGAAUAGGCCCAAGCGACUGUUUAUCAAAAACACAGGUCUCUGCUAAACCGUAAGGUGAUGUAUAGGGGCUGACGCCUGCCCGGUGCUGGAAGGUUAAGAGGAGUGGUUAGCUUCUGCGAAGCUACGAAUCGAAGCCCCAGUAAACGGCGGCCGUAACUAUAACGGUCCUAAGGUA
Molecule: ribosomal RNA, 354 nt
Filed under: Staphylococcus aureus
Lineage: Bacteria; Bacillati; Bacillota; Bacilli; Caryophanales; Staphylococcaceae
Description: partial 23S ribosomal RNA
Rfam family: Bacterial large subunit ribosomal RNA
Source: RNAcentral